Molecule: ribosomal RNA, 485 nt
Filed under: uncultured bacterium
Lineage: Bacteria
Description: partial 16S ribosomal RNA
Rfam family: Bacterial small subunit ribosomal RNA
Source: RNAcentral
AGUGAACGCUGGCGGCGUGCUUAACACAUGCAAGUCGAACGAGAACGGAAUAUAGCUUGCUAUAUUUGUCAGCUAAGUGGCGCACGGGUGAGUAAUGUAUAGAUAACCUGCCCUUAAGAAAGGAAUAACAGUUGGAAACGACUGCUAAUGCCCUAUAUGCCUUUAAUACAUAAGUAUGCAAGGGAAACGCUUUAGUGCUUAAGGAUGGGUCUGUAUGGUAUCAGCUUGUUGGUGAGGUAAUGGCUCACCAAGGCUAUGACGCCUAACUGGUUUGAGAGGAUGAUCAGUCACACUGGAACUGAGACAAGGUCCAGACUCCUACGGGAGGCAGCAGUGGGGAAUAUUGCACAAUGGACGAAAGUCUGAUGCAGCAACGCCGCGUGGAGGAUGACACAUUUCGGUGCGUGAACUCCUUUUAUAUAGGAAGAUAAUGACGGUACUAUAUGAAUAAGCACCGGCUAACUCCGUGCCAGCCGCCGCGGUAA